CUUCUUGACCCUAGACUAUGGAGUAAUAUCUGAAAUGCACAAGUUGAAAAGUUCCCAGAAAGACAAAGUGAGGCAAUUUAUUGCCUUCACACAAACGGGAGAAAA
This is a long non-coding RNA of Saccostrea cuccullata (small rock oyster), 105 nucleotides long. RefSeq lists it as uncharacterized. The record is from RefSeq and is a predicted model, not a curated record. Lineage: Eukaryota; Metazoa; Mollusca; Bivalvia; Ostreida; Ostreidae. The transcript has 2 exons.